GUCUGUAUUUCUGCAACAGGGAAAUCAUUUUUAGGGAAGCACCAUUCUUUAGGCAAGCAUUGUAGCAUGACUCAACUUUGGAUAAAGGGGUCUAUUGAAUGAAGUCUUGGAGUUGAAUGAAGGCUAUACAUAUUUGAGGAUCAAUAUACUAUGAAUAAUAAGGUGUAGUGUUGCAAGUUGGAAUGAGAGAAUGCUGCACUUAAUAUAGGAGACAGCGAUAUGCGUGGAAUUCAUGUCCUCGGCUCCUGUGCUAGACUCGCUCCUAGGCCUCUUGCAGUCCUCCAUGUCCAACGCCUCAUCGCUAAUUGAAAACAAGCAAAUGGAGGCAGCAUUUUUAUCUUCUAUGGAGGAAAAAUGAAAAAAUAGAGACUUGGAGAGGAAGUCAGUGAACAUCCAAGAUGGCGUCAGAGAACUUACUUUGUUAGAAGAGAAGAAGAAUCUUGGAAGCAAUUUGAAGAUAGAAAAAUGUGAAAUUACUUAGGAAAUUUGAGAAUUGAGAAAUUUGGAAGUUGAGGAAUUUAAAGAUUGAAAAUUUGGAACUUUGAAAAGUACCUGAGAAAUAUUUGAAAAUGAGGAGAUUAAAGAACAGAGAGAUUGAAGACAGGGAAUUAAGAGUAGGGAAAUAAAAGAGAAGGAAAUUAGGAAAUUUAGAAACAGGAAUUAGGAGAAUUUCUAAAUUGAGAAAUUUGGAAGUUGAGGAAUUUAGAUUUUGAAAAUUUAGAACUUUGAAAAGUACCUGAGAAAUAUUUGAAAAUGAGGAGAUUAAAGAACAGGGGGAUUGAAGGCAGGGAAUUAGGAGUAGGGAAAUUAGUUAAUUUAGAAACAGGAACUAGAAGAAUUUCUAAAUUGAGAAACUCGUAACUAGGGGCAUUUUUAAAUAGAAUUUCUAGGUACAGUCCUAGGCUAAUUAUAAAUUAAUAAUUACAUGAAGGAAUAAAUAUUUAUUACCAAGCAUAUAAUUCAUACCAAUAUCCAGGCAGCCAUUGCCAUCAUCGCUGCAAAAAUGCCCAUGGAUGUGUAAGCGAACAUAGUCAAACACACCACAAUGUCCUGGUGAAGAGAUCAUUUUGGAUAUUUACGUUCCUGUAAGAACGAUAACUCGUAUUCAUAAUUUCUAUACUCGUAUCUAUAAUUUUGUUGAAAAAACAGCAUUGUGAGAAAAAUGUUUGUUUGAAACUCUUUUUCGAUAAAUUAUCAGUAUGAAAAGAAAAAUGGCGCAUUGUUCUCCAUAUUGAAUAUAACAUUGUUAUCUGAACGAGCGAAAGACUCGACAGUUGUCAUACAAAGAAAGACCGUAAAAAGGUAGCUAAAGAGGUGGCCUAUCCGGUAAUAUAACGAGAGUGUGCAGUGAGAGAUCGGUGCUACUCGACUCUUAAUUAGGAGGGACAUAAUAGGAUCGUACAGCGUGGAUGGUUAAUGAAAACAGCCUCGCCAGUCGUGAACAUGAUGGCUGAAUUCUAUCUUUCACCAGCAGCUUUCCGUAGUU
This 1486-nucleotide long non-coding RNA is filed under the name Megachile rotundata (alfalfa leafcutting bee). RNAcentral describes it as "uncharacterized LOC105661862, transcript variant X5". Lineage: Eukaryota; Metazoa; Arthropoda; Insecta; Hymenoptera; Megachilidae. The record is from RNAcentral.